UGCCAGCAGCCGCGGUAAUACGGAGGGUGCAAGCGGUGUUCGGAAUUAUUGGGCGUAAAGCGCGCGUAGGCGGCUUGUUAAGCCGGAUGUGAAAGCCCUGGGCUCAACCCAGGAAGUGCAUCCGGAACUGGCAAGCUUGAAUCCUGGAGGGGGUGGUGGAAUUCCCGGUGUAGAGGUGAAAUUCGUAGAUAUCGGGAGGAACACCAGUGGCGAAGGCGACCACCUGGACAGAGAUUGACGCUGAGGUGCGAAAGCGUGGGUAGCAAACAGGAUUAGAUA
Molecule: ribosomal RNA, 279 nt
Filed under: uncultured bacterium
Lineage: Bacteria
Description: partial 16S ribosomal RNA
Rfam family: Bacterial small subunit ribosomal RNA
Source: RNAcentral